GAGUUUAAGGGCAUAUUAAAAGAAAAAAAAUAGUUGUAUCUUCAUUUGCAACUUAUUUUACAACUUCUACGAGAUACAAACAGAAAUAAGUCUGUAGAAAAAAAAAUAAAAAAUAAAAUCUAGUUUAUCACAACUCUCUAAAAAGAUAUCCACUAAUAAUAUUUGGUACUUUUUUAGAAAAUGUUUUAGACACAUGAUUAGAAAUAAAGGCUACCGCAAGGACUUUCAAGAAAACCGUAAGGGCAGAGUAACUUUUUAUGAUGGGAGAAAGGGCA
RNAcentral lists this long non-coding RNA (275 nucleotides) under Gossypium raimondii (Peruvian cotton). Its description in RNAcentral is "long non-coding RNA (GRAI_LNC008868)". The record is from RNAcentral. Lineage: Eukaryota; Viridiplantae; Streptophyta; Magnoliopsida; Malvales; Malvaceae.